GACGAACGCUGGCGGCGUGCUUAACACAUGCAAGUCGAACGGAAAGGCCCUGCUUUUGUUGCUUGCUCGAGUGCCGAACAGGUGAGUAACACGUGAGUAACCUGCACCUAACUUACGGAUAACUUCAGGAAACACUGGCUAAUACCCCAUAUGAGCUACUGCUGCAUGGGGGUGGAUGGAAAGUGCCGGCGGUUUGGGAUGGUCUCGCAGCUUAUCAGCUUGUUGGUGGGGUUGUGACUUACCAAGGCUUUGACGGAUAGCCGGCCUGAGAGGCUGACCGGGGACAUUGGGACUGGGAUAGGGCCCAGACUCGAAUGUGCGGCAACGGUGGGGAAUAUUGCAGAAUGGGCGGAGGCCAGUUGAAGAAGCGCUCGGUGCGUGAUGCCGUCUUAUGGGUUGAAAACAGAUUUGGAAUGUGCCGAAGAGUGCGUGACGGUACUGGGUAAAGAAGCACCGGCUAACUACGUG
This 468-nucleotide ribosomal RNA is filed under the name uncultured bacterium. Its description in RNAcentral is "partial 16S ribosomal RNA". It matches the Rfam family "Bacterial small subunit ribosomal RNA", at positions 28 to 507 of the family's 1533-position model. The record is from RNAcentral.